This 484-nucleotide ribosomal RNA is filed under the name uncultured bacterium. Its description in RNAcentral is "partial 16S ribosomal RNA". It matches the Rfam family "Bacterial small subunit ribosomal RNA", at positions 30 to 507 of the family's 1533-position model. The record is from RNAcentral.
AUUGAACGCUGGCGGCAGGCCUAACACAUGCAAGUCGAGCGGAUGAAGGGAGCUUGCUCCUGGAUUCAGCGGCGGACGGGUGAGUAAUGCCUAGGAAUCUGCCUGGUAGUGGAGGAUAACGUCCGGAAACGGGCGCUAAUACCGCAUACGUCCUGAGGGAGAAAGUGGGGGAUCUUCGGACCUCACGCUAUCAGAUGAGCCUAGGUCGGAUUAGCUAGUUGGUGGGGUAAAGGCCUACCAAGGCGACGAUCCGUAACUGGUCUGAGAGGAUGAUCAGUCACACUGGAACUGAGACACGGUCCAGACUCCUACGGGAGGCAGCAGUGGGGAAUAUUGGACAAAGGGCGAAAGCCUGAUCCAGCCAUGCCGCGUGUGUGAAGAAGGUCUUCGGAUUGUAAAGCACUUUAAGUUGGGAGGAAGGGCAGUAAGUUAAUACCUUGCUGUUUUGACGUUACCAACAGAAUAAGCACCGGCUAACUUCGUG